AGAGUUUGAUCCUGGCUCAGAAUCAACGCUGGCGGCGUGCCUAACACAUGCAAGUCGAACGCGAAAGCCCCGCAGGGGGCAAGUAGAGUGGCAAACGGAUGAGUAACACGUGGGUGACCUGCCUUCGAGCGGGGGAUAACGUCCCGAAAGGGACGCUAAUACCGCAUAACAUCCUGCCUUUGAAGAGGUGGAGAUCAAAGCCGGGGAUCGCAAGACCCGGCACUUGAAGAGGGGCCCGCGCCUGAUUAGCUAGUUGGAGGGGUAACGGCCUACCAAGGCAACGAUCAGUAUCCGGCCUGAGAGGGCGGACGGACACACUGGGACUGAGACACGGCCCACACUCCUACGGGAGGCAGCAGUGGGGAAUUGUUCGCAAUGGGCGCAAGCCUGACGACGCAACGCCGCGUGGAGGAUGAAUAUUUUCGGAUCGUACACUCCUGUCGAAUGGGACGAAUAGAUUGCGGGUUAACAGCCCGCGAUCCUGACGGUACCGUUAAAGGAAACCCCGGCUAACUCCGUGCCAGCAGCCGCGGUAAUACGGGGGGGGGUAAGCGUUGUUCGGAAUUACUGGGCGUAAAGGGCUCGUAGGCGGCCAACUAAGUCAUACGUGACAUCCCUCAUCUUAACUGGGAGAACUGCGUGU
Molecule: ribosomal RNA, 643 nt
Filed under: uncultured bacterium
Lineage: Bacteria
Description: bacterial SSU rRNA
Rfam family: Bacterial small subunit ribosomal RNA
Source: RNAcentral